AAAAGAUUAGAAGAUUAAGUCUGGUCCAAUAUAUUAACAUAGAGAAAUAAUGAGCUUGUAUACGAAAAUUAUGACGAAGUGAAUAUAAAUAAUCGUCCUUAGUUACAAAUUAGCUUAAAAGAAAUUUCCAAAAGCAAACGGAGUCUAUGUGUAAACAUGGUAGGUACAUUGUAAUAAUUUGCAAAUAACUGGUUCUCUACUUGGUUGUUUUAAAAUCAUGGGUGAUUUAGUA
Molecule: non-coding RNA, 232 nt
Organism: Schizosaccharomyces pombe (fission yeast)
Lineage: Eukaryota; Fungi; Ascomycota; Schizosaccharomycetes; Schizosaccharomycetales; Schizosaccharomycetaceae
Source: the annotation of a GenBank genome assembly